This 65-nucleotide transfer RNA is filed under the name Macroglossum stellatarum. Its description in RNAcentral is "tRNA-Arg". Lineage: Eukaryota; Metazoa; Arthropoda; Insecta; Lepidoptera; Sphingidae. The record is from RNAcentral.
AAAUAAGAAGCAAAAUUUGCAUUUAAUUUCGACUUAAAAUUUAGAGUUUAUUUACUCCUUAUUUA